RNAcentral lists this ribosomal RNA (861 nucleotides) under fungal endophyte. RNAcentral's name for it is "eukaryotic LSU rRNA". The stretch from base 478 to 861 matches the Rfam family "Eukaryotic large subunit ribosomal RNA", at positions 1 to 387 of the family's 3401-position model. Lineage: Eukaryota; Fungi. The record is from RNAcentral.
UCCCAAACCCAUGUGAACAUACCUAACGUUGCCUCGGCAGGUCGCACCUACCUUGUAGCACCCUACCCUGUAGGGCCUACCCGGGAGGUGCGGGUAAGCCUGCCGGCGGCCCACCAAACUCUGUUUGAUAUUGAAUUCUGAACCUAUAACUAAAUAAGUUAAAACUUUCAACAACGGAUCUCUUGGUUCUGGCAUCGAUGAAGAACGCAGCGAAAUGCGAUAAGUAAUGUGAAUUGCAGAAUUCAGUGAAUCAUCGAAUCUUUGAACGCAUAUUGCGCCCAUUAGUAUUCUAGUGGGCAGGACCGUUCGAGCGUCAUUUCAACCCUUAAGCCUUCGUUGCUUAGUGUUGGGAGCCUACGGCAACGUAGCUCCUCAAAGUUAGUGGCGGAGUUAGUUCACACUCUAGACGUAGUAAUUUUUUAUCUCGCCUAUUAGUUGGACUAAUCCCCUGCCGUAAAACCCCCAAUUUAUCAAGGUUGACCUCGAAUCGGUUCAGACAAACUCGCUAAAUUGAAGCAUCUUAGUCAGCGAAGGAAAAGAAACCAACAGGGAUUGCCCUAGUAACGGCGAGUGAAGCGGCAACAGCUCAAAUUUGAAAUCUGGCCCUCGGGUCCGAGUUGUAAUUUGUAGAGGAUGCUUUUGGCGCGGUGCCUUCCGAGUUCCCUGGAACGGGACGCCUUAGAGGGUGAGAGCCCCGUACGGUUGGACACCAAGCCUCUGUAAAGCUCCUUCGACGAGUCGAGUAGCUUGGGAAUGCUGCUCUAAAUGGGAGGUAAAUUUCUUCUAAAGCUAAAUAUUGGCCAGAGACCGAUAGCGCACAAGUAGAGUGAUCGAAAGAUGAAAAGCACUUUGAAAAGAGGG